AACGCAUAUUGCGCUCAAGGCUUCGGCCGAGAGCAUGUCUGCCUCAGCGUCGGGUUAAUAUCAUCCCAACUCCUUCAUUUUUGUGAUGGACGGACGGAUGGAUCUGGUGGUCCCGAGCCGGGCGACCUUUCUCUCUCUCUCUUCAGAGUUAGGGAGCUUAGGGCGCGUUCAAGGUUGUUUGGGUCCGCUGAAGUCUAGAGGAUAGCGCAAAGGACCCGUUAUGACGGGCCGCAACUGGGUAGGCAGCUUCACAGCUCGCUGAAACGCUUAGUUGUUGGCACCUAGGGACCGCGUCGUUUUCCCUCAAUCAGGAACCCUUUUUUAUUUUCUCGACCUGAGCUCAGGCAAGAACACCCGCUGAACUUAA
This 367-nucleotide unclassified non-coding RNA is filed under the name uncultured fungus. Its description in RNAcentral is "partial contains ITS1, 5.8S rRNA and ITS2". The record is from RNAcentral. Lineage: Eukaryota; Fungi.